AUUGAACGCUGGCGGCAGGCCUAACACAUGAAAGUCGAACGAGUGGCGGACGGGUGAGUAAGGUCUGGGAAACUGACUGAUGGAGGGGGAUAACUACUGGAAAAGGUAGCUAAUACCGCAUACAAUCAGAUGUGCCCAGAUGGGUUUAGAUUGUGGGUGGGGUAACGGCUCUCCAAGGCGAGGAUCCCUAGCUGGUCUGAGAGGAUGACCACCCACACUGGAACUGAGACACCGUCCAGACUCCUCCGGUCGGCAGCAGUGGGGAAUAUUGCAACAUGGGCGCAAGCCUGAUUCAGCCAUGCCGCGUGUAUGGAGAAUGCCUUCCGGUUGUAAAGUACUUUCAGCGGCGAGGCGUGACCCGCAGAAGAAGCACCGACUAACUCCGUGCCAGCAGCCGCGGUAAUAC
RNAcentral lists this ribosomal RNA (406 nucleotides) under uncultured bacterium. RNAcentral describes it as "partial 16S ribosomal RNA". It matches the Rfam family "Bacterial small subunit ribosomal RNA", at positions 30 to 526 of the family's 1533-position model. The record is from RNAcentral.